Molecule: ribosomal RNA, 403 nt
Filed under: uncultured bacterium
Lineage: Bacteria
Description: bacterial SSU rRNA
Rfam family: Bacterial small subunit ribosomal RNA
Source: RNAcentral
GUGGGGAAUCUUGCACAAUGGAGGAAACUCUGAUGCAGCGACGCCGCGUGAGCGAAGAAGCCUUUCGGGGUGUAAAGCUCUUACGCCAGGGACGAUAAUGACGGUACCUGGAGAAGCAGCUGCGGCUAACUACGUGCCAGCAGCCGCGGUAAUACGUAGGCAGCAAGCGUUGUUCGGAAUUACUGGGCGUAAAGGGUGCGUAGGCGGUUUUCUAAGUUCGGUGUGAAAUCUCCCGGCUUAACUGGGAGGGUGCGCCGAAGACUGGGAAGCUGGAGUGUGGGAAAGGCAGGCGGAAUUCCUGGUGUAGCGGUGAAAUGCGUAGAUAUCAGGAGGAACACCGGCGGUGUAGACGGCUUGCUAGACCAUAACUGACGCUGAGGCACGAAAGCGUGGGUAGCAAACA